Molecule: ribosomal RNA, 253 nt
Filed under: uncultured bacterium
Lineage: Bacteria
Description: partial 16S ribosomal RNA
Rfam family: Bacterial small subunit ribosomal RNA
Source: RNAcentral
UACAUAGGGAGCAAGCGUUGUUCGGAUUUACUGGGCGUAAAGGGCGCGUAGGCGGCAAAUUAAGUCAGCUGUGAAAUCUCCGAGCUUAACUCGGAACGGUCAGCUGAUACUGAUCUGCUAGAGUGCGGAAGGGGCAAUCGGAAUUCUUGGUGUAGCGGUGAAAUGCGCAGAUAUCAGGAGGAACACCGGUGGCGAAGGCGGAUCUCUGGGCCAUUACUGACGCUGAGGAGCGAAAGCGUGGGGAGCGAACAGG